This 46-nucleotide non-coding RNA is filed under the name Schistosoma margrebowiei. Lineage: Eukaryota; Metazoa; Platyhelminthes; Trematoda; Strigeidida; Schistosomatidae. The record is from RNAcentral.
GCAUUACUGAUGAGUCCCACAAUAGAACGAAAUGCUUGUCUAGUGC